Molecule: long non-coding RNA, 2666 nt
Filed under: Salmo salar (Atlantic salmon)
Lineage: Eukaryota; Metazoa; Chordata; Actinopteri; Salmoniformes; Salmonidae
Description: lncRNA (ENSSSAG00000102212.1)
Source: RNAcentral
GCUGCCAGUGGACAUCAUGUUUGGAAGUACCCUGAAAAACGAAGACGUGUUGACUCAUGACGAGUAUGUUGACUCGUUCCAAAAGGACCUGCGAGAGGCUGUCAGGAUCGCUCAGGCCAACACCACUGAAGCUCAGAAAAAGCAAGCCAGGCAGUAUAACAAGAGAGUGAAGGGUACUGCCCUGGAGAUUGGGGACCGAGUUCUCUUGGCAAACCGAAAGGAAAGAGGAAAAGGUAAACUUGCCGACUUGUGGGAUUCAACGGUCUAUGUGAUCACAUGGAAAGACCCGUCUGUGCACAUCUACAGAGUCGAAGAUCCUACUACCAAGAAGAGUAAAGUAGUUCAUCGAAACUUCAUACUGCCAGUGAACUUCCUGCCGGUGGGACAGACAGACGAGAUGUCCACAGUAGCCUCUACUGCUUCAGAGGAGGACAUAAACGGAGACAGCGGUGACGAAAGACCGGUAUUCGAUGUGGAUGAGGAUUCAGAGGAUCGAAGGACUGCUGUCUGGAUUCUCGAGGGCCAGAACCCUGAGGGGCCCACGGAAGCUGAAGGUCAAAAAUCUUCGGGACCGGAAGAUGGCGUGAACAUGAGAGAAGCUGCUCCUCAAUGCCCAGCGAAGGACAUGAUCUCAGGACAAGCAGCUAAAUCAAGCACAGGAAGCUCCUCAAUGAUGCCUGGUGAUGAUUCAAGUGAUCCUUCUGAAAAUGACACAAGUAGAGAAGCAACGUCGGUGAGCAGUCUAGAUGGCAUCAGCAGUAGAAGUUCAUCAGUCAGCGGCUCUGUAUGCAUAAGAUCUACUAAGAAGAGAAUGAGUAACCAGAGAGAGGUAGAGCGCAGAAACAGCCAGACAUCUGAGCUCACUGAUACAGUCCUGAGACCAAGUGAAGGCACUUUGAGAACUCGAACUGGAAGAGUUGUGAAGCCUGUCAGAAGACUUUUAGAGUCAAUGAGUCAAGUGAUUGCUGAGCCGGACAAAAGAGAGCAUCUAGCCGCCCUGAUUCAAGCCUUAUCAACUUUUGUUGAAGUGACAGUACCCCAGUGACACAGAAGCCAGAAGAUAGAUUAAGGAAAUGAGAAAUACUUUAUUAGGGGGUCAUAGGUUGUAUGUAUAUGGGCAUAUUUCUACCUGGCAAAGUCUCUUUGCUGUCCUUCUGGACGACUCUUGGUCAAGGUUACCCCUGUGGAGGAAGAAGUCUUACCUUAUGUCUUGAAGUUUGCUGAAAUCAAGAAGGGAACAACUUGUCAGGUGGUGCAUUGGAGACUGAUGUGUUCCUGUCCUGUCUUUUCAUAAUACUAUUGCAGAUCGACAUAAAAGCCUAAAAGACAGCCGUGGUGUUGCUCUUCAUUUCUUGGUUCUCCUGUGGUGCAUAAGAAACCCGCUACAUAUGUAAGUGAACCAUAAAACCACAUUUCCACAGUGGAUAUGCCUGUAGGUAAAAGUGACGCAGCAUUACGUCAUACUUCCAGUGUCAGUCCUCUAUAAUAUUUUGAAUGGGCUUGGCAGUGAUGUAAUCAAAUUUGUGAAAACGUGGUCUAUGCAUCACACCAAUAGGGUUAACCCACCAAUUUUAACGCCACUCAAAUAAUGUAGCGAGGAUCGCGACACUGGUCGGAAUUGUAAUGUACCUCAUAGAGCGAGUAUCGCUACAAUUGUCACGGAUUGCCCGGUACUGCUGCUCAUUCGUUUCACCAGCUCCAGAGGUCUACGUCACCGGCUUUCUAGGCAUCACUGAACUGGAUCAUUACCACCAACCCGAGACUGUCUUGUCUCAUUAUGCACCCCUGGUUCCCAUUCCCCCUGAUUACUAUGUGCAUGUAAGUGCCCUCUGUUCCCCAUUGUCCUGGUUGAUUAUUGUUCCACGUCCGUUGGUCUUGUGAGUACCUGUGCUCUGUUGUAUCGGCUUGCGUGUUACCAUGUUAGUGUGCACUUGUUAUUAUGGGUCUCAUCCCGUGUAUUGUUAUUACGGGUCUCGUCCCGUGUAUUGUUAUUACGGGUCUCGUCCCGUGUAUUGUUAUUACGGGUCUCGUCCCGUGUAUUGUUAUUACGGGUCUCGUCCCGUGUAUUGUUAUUACGGGUCUCAUCCCGUGUAUUGUUAUUACGGGUCUCGUCCCGUGUAUUGUUACUACGGGUCUCGUCCCGUGUAUUGUUAUUACGGGUCUCGUCCCUUGAAUUUAUUAGAGGUUUACACCUGGCGCUUUGCUUGGGUUACCUGUGUUAAAUAUAUACAGUUGAAGUCGGAAGUUAACAUACACUUAGGUUGGAGUCAUUAAAACUUGUUUUUCAACCACUCCACAAAUUUCUUGUUAACAAACUAUAGUUUUGGCAAGUCGGUUAGGACAUCUACUUUGUGCAUGACACAAGUCAUUUUUCCAACAAUUGUUUACAGACAAAUUAUUUCACUUAUAAUUCACUGUAUCACAAAUCCAGUGGGUCAGAAGUUUACAUUCACUAAGUUGACUGUGCCUUUAAACAGCUUGGAAAAUUCCAGAAAAUUAUGUCAUGGUUCUAGAAGUUUCUGAUAGGGUAAUUGACAUCAUUUGAGUCAAUUGGAGGUGUACCUGUGGAUGUAUUUCAAGGCCUACCUUCCAACUCACUGCCUCUUUGCUUGACAUCAUGGGAAAAUCAAAAGAAAUCAGCAGAGACUUCAGAAAAAAGAUUGUAG